RNAcentral lists this ribosomal RNA (253 nucleotides) under uncultured bacterium. Its description in RNAcentral is "partial 16S ribosomal RNA". It matches the Rfam family "Bacterial small subunit ribosomal RNA", at positions 524 to 776 of the family's 1533-position model. The record is from RNAcentral.
UACAGAGGGUGCGAGCGUUAAUCGGAAUUACUGGGCGUAAAGGGCGCGUAGGUGGUUACUUAAGUCAGAUGUGAAAUCCCUGGGCUUAACCUAGGAAUUGCAUUUGAAACUGAGUAGCUAGAGUAUGGUAGAGGGAAGUGGAAUUUCCGGUGUAGCGGUGAAAUGCGUAGAUAUCGGAAGGAACACCAGUGGCGAAGGCGACUUCCUGGACCAUUACUGACACUGAGGCGCGAAAGCGUGGGGAGCGAACAGG